CAGUCUCAGUUCGGAUUGAAGGCUGAAAUUCGCCUUCAUGAAGCCGGAAUUGCUAGUAAUGGCAGGUCAGCAUACUGCCGUGAAUACGUUCCCGGGCCUUGUACACACCGCCCGUCACACCAUGAGAGUUGGGAAUACCCGAAGCCUGUGAGCUAACUUUUAGAGGCAGCAGUCGAAGGUAGAAUCAAUGAUUGGGGUGAAGUCGUAACAAGGUAUC
RNAcentral lists this ribosomal RNA (217 nucleotides) under uncultured bacterium. Its description in RNAcentral is "partial 16S ribosomal RNA". It matches the Rfam family "Bacterial small subunit ribosomal RNA", at positions 1283 to 1500 of the family's 1533-position model. The record is from RNAcentral.